This 18-nucleotide microRNA is filed under the name Gallus gallus (chicken). Its description in RNAcentral is "microRNA Ros-gga". Lineage: Eukaryota; Metazoa; Chordata; Aves; Galliformes; Phasianidae. The record is from RNAcentral.
CGCCUGCCUGAGCGUCGC